This 325-nucleotide long non-coding RNA is filed under the name Sorghum bicolor (sorghum). RNAcentral describes it as "long non-coding RNA (SBIC_LNC014957)". The record is from RNAcentral. Lineage: Eukaryota; Viridiplantae; Streptophyta; Magnoliopsida; Poales; Poaceae.
CGUUGGGCGCCGGAGUAGGUGUGCUUCCUUAACUUCAGUCUUGUGUCGCUUGACGAUGUCCGCGUAGGAGGGAUGAGCCGUCUGCAAGAAGGUCGCCUCAUCCAGCUCGGACCGACGCGUGUGGAACGGCGGCGGCGGCGGCGGGGUCUCAAACUGGGGCGCGCUUCGAUCUCCCAUGUCGGGGCUGCUCGCAGAGUCAUCUGUGUACGGAGGACCAUUGGAGGUGUGGAGGGCGACGGGGAUAGGAUGGAUCUGCGGGAUGGGCUCGCCGCGGCGGAGGAUCUGGGGCUGCAACGGGACGGCGGGGGCGGAGUCCGCCAUCGCC